GGACGUGUAGCCUAAUGGUAAGGCACUCGCACCCAAUAACCACCAAUCGGACAUGCUGUGUGAACUUGCCACCAGCACCGGUUCUGCGAUCUACCGAGGUCGACGUGUGAGCACAGGAGUAACGAACUACAAACACCUGUGUGGGUCAUGUGAGGGAUCCAUGUUCAAAUCAUGGCAUGUCCA
Alternaria alternata is the source of this 183-nucleotide non-coding RNA. Lineage: Eukaryota; Fungi; Ascomycota; Dothideomycetes; Pleosporales; Pleosporaceae. The record is from the annotation of a RefSeq genome assembly.